GAUGAACGCUCGCGGCAGGCUUAACACAUGCAAGUCGAGGGGUAUUUAUCUUCGGAUAGAGAGACCGGCGCACGGGUGCGUAACGCGUAUGCAAUCUACCUUUUACAGAGGGAUAGCCCAGAGAAAUUUGGAUUAAUACCUCAUAGUAUAUAGACUCGGCAUCGAGAUUAUAUUAAAGUCACAACGGUAAAAGAUGAGCAUGCGUCCCAUUAGCUAGUUGGUAAGGUAACGGCUUACCAAGGCUACGAUGGGUAGGGGUCCUGAGAGGGAGAUCCCCCACACUGGUACUGAGACACGGACCAGACUCCUACGGGAGGCAGCAGUGAGGAAUAUUGGACAAUGGGCGCAAGCCUGAUCCAGCCAUGCCGCGUGCAGGAUGACGGUCCUAUGGAUUGUAAACUGCUUUUAUACGAGAAGAAACACUGCUACGUGUAGCAGCUGGACGGUAUCGUAAGAAUAAGGAUCGGCUAACUCCGU
Molecule: ribosomal RNA, 477 nt
Filed under: uncultured bacterium
Lineage: Bacteria
Description: partial 16S ribosomal RNA
Rfam family: Bacterial small subunit ribosomal RNA
Source: RNAcentral